GACCGCGUAGCUCAGUUGGCAGAGCAUUGGGCUAGUAUUCCAAAGGUCGUAGGUUCGAUUCCCACAGCGAUCA
Molecule: transfer RNA, 73 nt
Filed under: Paramuricea clavata
Lineage: Eukaryota; Metazoa; Cnidaria; Anthozoa; Malacalcyonacea; Plexauridae
Rfam family: tRNA
About the family: Transfer RNA (tRNA) molecules are approximately 80 nucleotides in length. Their secondary structure includes four short double-helical elements and three loops (D, anti-codon, and T loops).
Source: Rfam by way of RNAcentral